UGUGAGUAAUCCAAAGCAAGAUGAUUUAUGCUCAAAUGAGCUUAUUGAGAUUGAUUAAACUUAGAUAUUAGAUAGCUCAUGAAGAGCUUUAUUCAAAUGCAAAACUAAAAGAUAAAAGGAAAGAACUUGAGUUUGUCACCAAGAACACAAUGAUUCAAAGAUGAUAUUUCAUAAAAUGGUGAAGAAGGAGAGUUGCCUCUUUG
RNAcentral lists this long non-coding RNA (203 nucleotides) under Capsella grandiflora. RNAcentral's name for it is "long non-coding RNA (CGRA_LNC000939)". Lineage: Eukaryota; Viridiplantae; Streptophyta; Magnoliopsida; Brassicales; Brassicaceae. The record is from RNAcentral.